RNAcentral lists this ribosomal RNA (1059 nucleotides) under Pleurothecium sp. RNAcentral describes it as "SSU rRNA". It matches the Rfam family "Eukaryotic small subunit ribosomal RNA", at positions 40 to 1110 of the family's 1831-position model. Lineage: Eukaryota; Fungi; Ascomycota; Sordariomycetes; Pleurotheciales; Pleurotheciaceae. The record is from RNAcentral.
AAGAUUAAGCCAUGCAUGUCCAAGUAUAAGCAAACACAAAGUGAAACUGCGAAUGGCUCAUUAUAUAAGUUAUCGUUUAUUUGAUAUUGCCUAUCCUACAUGGAUAACAGUGGUAAUUCUAGAGCUAAUACAUGCUGAAAAUCCCAACUUCGGAAGGGACGUAUUUAUUAGAAUCAGAACCAAUGCCCUUCGGGGUUCCUUGGUGAAUCAUGAUAACUCCACAGAUCGCAUGGCCUUGCGCCGGCGAUGGCUCAUUCAAAUUUCUUCCCUAUCAACUUUCGACGGUACGGUCUUGGCCUACCGUGGUUGCAACGGGUGACGGAGGGUUAGGGCUCGACCCCGGAGAAGGAGCCUGAGAAACGGCUACUACAUCCAAGGAAGGCAGCAGGCGCGCAAAUUAUCCAAUCCCGACUCGGGGAGAUAGUGACAAUAAAUACCGAUACAGGGCUCUUUUGGGCCCUGUAAUUGGAAUGAGUACAAUUCAAACCUCUUAACGAGGAACAAUUGGAGGGCAAGUCUGGUGCCAGCAGCCGCGGUAAUUCCAGCUCCAAUAGCGUAUAUUAAAGUUGUUGUGGUUAAAAAGCUCGUAGUCGAACCUCGAGCCUGGCCGGCCGGUCCGCCUCACCGCGUGCACUGGUCUGGCCGGGCUCUUCCCUCUGCGGAACCGCAUGCCCUUCACUGGGCGUGUCGGGGAGGCAGGACUUUUACUUUGAAAAAAUUAGAGUGCUCAAGGCAGGCCAAUGCUCGAAUACAUUAGCAUGGAAUAAUAGAAUAGGACGUUGGUUCUAUUUUGUUGGUUUCUAGGACCGCCGUAAUGAUCAAUAGGGACGGUCGGGGGCAUCAGUAUUCAGCCGUCAGAGGUGAAAUUCUUGGACCGGCUGAAGACUAACUACUGCGAAAGCAUUUGCCAAGGACGUUUUCGCUGAUCAGGAACGAAAGUUAGGGGAUCGAAGACGAUCAGAUACCGUCGUAGUCUUAACCAUAAACUAUGCCGACUAGGGAUCGGGCGGCGUUCUUUCUAGACCCGCUCGGCACCUUUCGAGAAAUCAAAGUGCUUGG